CAGGCACUUGGGGGCUACUGACGUUGUUAUGACUAACCACGUACUCGGCUUGAGUAUACCCGGUAUAGCCCAGCAGGGGGCACGCAAGGAAGCCUACUUCGACUCCAGGAGUCUACAUGCCAAAUCUUGCGACUCAAGACAAGGAAGGUUAAUUAGAGUAUAUCUCCUCAUUGUAACCGACUUGAACUCUACCUGAGACCUGAGUUCCUGCAUAUAUAAAGGACCAGGAGGGGGAGCCAAGAGGACACCCCCAACUUUAGAUAGAAGUCGCCUAGAUGCACUCGAUGGCUCGGUGCCUCUAGACUUUGCGGCACCCCAUUGUAAUCGACUCACCAAUACAGAUCCGACAAGUAGGACGUAGGGGUAUUACCUCAUCGAGGGUCCUGAACCUGGGUAAAUCGUGUCCCCUGUCUCCUUGUUACCCGACGAGUUCGCCAACACACACUCAAAAUUUUUCCUUGAUACAAGUCCUUGAUACAUUGUCGAAGUCACAUCUUUGUCAACCAGCGAAAAAGCCCACGACAUAGGGUGGGCCGCCAGCAAAUCAUAAGAUAGGCCAUCGGUAAAGGAUGGCCCACGGCAACGAAACCCUGCACGUGGGCCCGCGUGCGAGGUUAACGGCGGGCAAAACGGACGGCGGGAAAGGAAAAAAAGCUAUCUUUGCCGGCGGCCACCAAAACAUGCCGCCGGCAAAGUGAUCCUUUUUUCCCGCACGUGCCGUUCAAAUUUAGACGUGCGCAUACAAAUUAAAAACAAAAAAGAAAUUACUCUUUGCCGGCAGCCACAAGAACAGGCCACCGUUAAAACUCAAAGUAUUUUUUUCCGCAUCCCCUUGUCCGAAUUUAACCAACGAAAAAAAAUUACUCUUUGCCGGCGGCUACGCGGAAAGACCGCCGGCAAAUCCCCCGUCCGAAUUGAACCAAACGAAAAAAAAAAUUGCUCUAACUUUUGCCUCCGUUCCCCAUGGCGCCCCCCACCACCAGGAAGGGAAAAGAGGGGAAGGCCUCGAAGAAAGCGGCGGCUAGCAAAAGCGAGGCGGCCACCAAGGUCGCCGUCGACAAGGAUUAGCAAAAGCGGGCAAUGAGGGCCACGCUCGCCUUCUACCGGCCCGGCUACAACGGCGAGGCGCUGGCCAAGAUCCAGCACG
Molecule: long non-coding RNA, 1147 nt
Filed under: Brachypodium distachyon (stiff brome)
Lineage: Eukaryota; Viridiplantae; Streptophyta; Magnoliopsida; Poales; Poaceae
Description: long non-coding RNA (BDIS_LNC004898)
Source: RNAcentral